GCGCCAAUAGUCUAGUCUGGUAGGACAUGACCUUCCCAAGGUUAAGGCACGGGUUCAAAUCCCGUUUGGCGCA
This 73-nucleotide transfer RNA is filed under the name Candidatus Aenigmatarchaeota archaeon. RNAcentral describes it as "tRNA-Gly". It matches the Rfam family "tRNA". Rfam says of the family: Transfer RNA (tRNA) molecules are approximately 80 nucleotides in length. Their secondary structure includes four short double-helical elements and three loops (D, anti-codon, and T loops). Lineage: Archaea; Nanobdellati; Candidatus Aenigmatarchaeota. The record is from RNAcentral.